RNAcentral lists this long non-coding RNA (580 nucleotides) under Oryza sativa Indica Group (long-grained rice). RNAcentral's name for it is "lncRNA OsZS97_05G017820". The record is from RNAcentral. Lineage: Eukaryota; Viridiplantae; Streptophyta; Magnoliopsida; Poales; Poaceae.
AUGAUGAUGUGGGUCUCCUGCUCUAGGACCGCCGCGGCCGUGUGGCGGGUGGUCCUGACGAGCGGUGGUGGCACGGUGCAGCGGUCAGCGUUCCACACCAUCUGCCGCGUGCUUCACUACUUGAAUCGCUUCCUGGUAAUGAACCCGGAGCAGCUGGACUUGGCUAGACCGGCGGUGGACUACCUCGACAUGGAUGCGCAGCUGCUGAGGAGGUUCCCGGAGUGGGAGGGGAACGGUGUCACCGACGUGCCAUUCGAGAUGUACGCGUACAGGGUGAUGGAGAGGGACAAGAGCAACGCGUGUAGGGACAGGAGCUCCGACUCCGGCAUCGACGACAACUCGUUGUGUGGAGAUGACAGCGUCAGCGGCGGGUCCAGCACGACGACGACGGCGACGAACGCAUCGGCGUCGGCGUCGAGCCGGCCACUGCUUGACCGAAGAGGCAACACGAGGUCGUCAGCGCCGCGGCACAAGGUGGCCAUCGCCGCCACCAAGGCAGGCAAGUGUCGCAGCGGUAUUGUUACUCGUCUAAAGCCUUCCAAGAUUACAGCUAGCGCUCCAUGUCCAUGACGUGUGCAUG